GUGGGGAAUUUUGGACAUUGGGCGAAAGCCUGAUCCAGCCAUGCCGCGUGCAGGAUGAAGGCCUUCGGGUUGUAAACUGCUUUUGUACGGAACGAAAAGACUCUGGUUAAUACCUGGGGUCCAUGACGGUACCGUAAGCAUAAGCACCGUCUAACUACGUGCCAGCAGCCGCGGUAAUACGUAGGGUGCAAGCGUUAAUCGGACUUACUGGGCGUAAAGCGUGCGCAGUCGGUUAUAUAAGACAGAUGUGGAAUCCCCGGGCUCAACCUGGGAACUGCAUUUGUGACUGUAUAGCUAGAGUACGGCAGAGGGGGAUGGAAUUCCGCGUGUAGCAGUGAAAUGCGUAGAUAUGCGGAGGAACACCGAUGGCGAAGGCAAUCCCCUGGGCCUGUACUGACGCUCAUGCACGAAAGCGUGGGGAGCAAACAGGAUUAGAAACCCUUGUAGUCC
This 450-nucleotide ribosomal RNA is filed under the name uncultured bacterium. RNAcentral describes it as "partial 16S ribosomal RNA". It matches the Rfam family "Bacterial small subunit ribosomal RNA", at positions 354 to 796 of the family's 1533-position model. The record is from RNAcentral.